GCCUAGUUGAGUUGAUGUUUGGAAUAAAGGCCUAGUUGAGUUGAUGUUUGGAUGGACCAGAAUUUGUGGUACUUCUAGUUCGAAGAGAGUUGAUAAGAGGGAAGGCCAAAUGGUAUUGGACUAAACUGUAUAUGAUCCAUGGAUUUGUUGCAGGUCCUGUUAAGGAUCCAAGGAAAAUGGGCCAAGAUCCAAAGCCUUUGAUGGUUUAUUAUAGAAGAAAUUAGAAGAAGAAAGAAAAGUCGAGAAUGAGACAGCUGGAAGGGAAUAUUUUGAAGGUUAUACAGUUAGAGGAAUUGUGGAAGGAUGGCCACAUGUU
RNAcentral lists this unclassified non-coding RNA (316 nucleotides) under Hevea brasiliensis (rubber tree). Lineage: Eukaryota; Viridiplantae; Streptophyta; Magnoliopsida; Malpighiales; Euphorbiaceae. The record is from RNAcentral.